This is a long non-coding RNA of Solanum tuberosum (potato), 444 nucleotides long. RefSeq lists it as uncharacterized. NCBI's taxonomy places the organism in Eukaryota, Viridiplantae, Streptophyta, Magnoliopsida, Solanales, Solanaceae. The transcript has 2 exons. The record is from RefSeq and is a predicted model, not a curated record.
AUGGAAAAGGCGUAGUGUAAAAGAUGCCCGAAGGGUAGAGUUUCCUAAUUGCUUCCUCACUGUCUCCACCGCCUCUUUCUUCAAUAUGCUCUUCACAGGAGUUUUCAGGUCUCCUUCCUUAUCCUUAUGUUGUGGGUUAUCUAUGUUUAUCUCCUGCUCUUCUUCCCCCUCUUUGUUCGCAGUUCGCAAAAUGGUAUAUUCCGGUGGAUGCAAUGGACUCCAUGUCGAUUUCUCUGCCAAGUCCUGAGAUCUAUUGAUUGGAAAUUAUGUGAUUCCUAUCUGAAUCUGUCAACCAACUCAGCAAUCCUUCUUCAAAUCUCGCAUAACUAUGCUCUGCUGCUAAUUUCUUGCUCCCUCCCUUGAUGUGUUUCAUGGACUGUUAUCUUCCUUGUUUUAAUCCUUAGUGAGGGGAUUUCUGCUUUAUCCAUAUUCACAAUUCCUCUA